Long non-coding RNA from Pseudophryne corroboree (corroboree frog), 1222 nucleotides. RefSeq lists it as uncharacterized. NCBI's taxonomy places the organism in Eukaryota, Metazoa, Chordata, Amphibia, Anura, Myobatrachidae. The transcript has 5 exons. The record is from RefSeq and is a predicted model, not a curated record.
UAUCUGGCACUGGGGACAUAUGUGGCACUGGGAGCACAGCCCUAGCAACAAGGACUACCUCCUAGCAACGAGCAUGACACCCAGUGCAUGAAACACCUGACAACGAGCAUGACACCCAGUGCAUGAAACACCUGGCAACGAGCAUGACACCCAGUGCAUGAAACCCCUGACAACGAGAAGAAAAUGGAGUCAUCGAAAAAGGCAAAAAAAUAGGUGAAUUACAUCUGACUGGUGAAGAAUUUCUAAUUGAGUAGCAGAGAAAAACAGAACCGACAUCAACCUACAGUGGAGUGAAAGCACAAAUCACUAUAAUCUGUACAGGCUUUGUGUCAUGGAAUGAGCAAGUCUGUGAUCUGUAUUGGGAUCCUUAGGCUCUGCUGACAUAGGUGUAUGAGUGACAUGAGGAGAAUGUAACAUGGACAAGCUCAUGGAGUGAUAGUAUGAGGCUUGAUGUUACUUUGAUAAAUAGGUUUUUAAGGAUAUUAGAUACACAAGUGACACAUAGGAACCUUGGACUGGUCAUAUGCAAGAAUGUUGAAAUGGAACCAGAAGCCACCAGGUCCCCGGGCGACCUCUCACCUAAUAAUCAGAGAGACCAGUCAGGCCAGAGAUCCACGCCAGAAACAAGGCAGCCACUGGAACUCAAAGCAGCAUAGUACUUACAGCAUGGAACCGGAAUCUAAAUCAGGAAUCAGAGUAUUAUGUAACCAGGAAAAAGCUUGAAAAAGCUAUACCCCCUGACACUGAUCUGAUGCAAGACCUGGUCCCGGAAUCCAGAUGAGGAACUCACAACAGAGAAACAAUCCAGAUGGUACAGAAAUGGUGGAAGGAGACUUUUCUACAAGUACAGUAUCAGUAAUGUCAAACUCAUACAUAGCUAAAGUGGACACCUCUAGACUUUCCUCAGUGGCUGAACUGAGGUUAGGACUUUGACUUCAUGUGCCUGCUUCCUGCUGCUCUUACUGUGAUAAUCGUGGUGCUGCUUGGAAGCAGACAAAACUGAUUAUGUGGAGUCUCUAUACAGUAUAUGAGCUAUAAGAAGAAUCCAGCAAGGAACAAGGGGUGGUUUAUGGAACAAGCAUACUAAUUUCAUUUUUACAACACAAAAAGAUUCAGUAACUUUUAUUACACCCACGUUGCUUGCCAGUUUACUCACUGACUAGUAUUUGAUUAAUAUUAUGAAGCAUGCUUUAAAGCAGAAAAUAAAGCGAUUAGCAAGUGA